RNAcentral lists this small RNA (195 nucleotides) under Arabidopsis thaliana (thale cress). Its description in RNAcentral is "ATSL176930". Lineage: Eukaryota; Viridiplantae; Streptophyta; Magnoliopsida; Brassicales; Brassicaceae. The record is from RNAcentral.
UUCUUGCUUUUCAAAAUCCUCCUUCUCUUGCUCUCGAUCCUUCUGCCUUAGCUCCCAAUCCUUCUGCUUUAUCUCCCAAAUAGACUGAAUCUCCAACAUCACAUUCCCUUUGUCUUCCACAGUUGUUGUCUUACUCACAGCCUUUUUUGCUUUCGCCUUUGCAGCUUUAACACCAAUAGGACGAGACAUUGCUUC